RNAcentral lists this ribosomal RNA (904 nucleotides) under cyanobacterial symbiont MY2 (host: Mycale sp.). Its description in RNAcentral is "bacterial SSU rRNA". It matches the Rfam family "Bacterial small subunit ribosomal RNA", at positions 30 to 979 of the family's 1533-position model. The record is from RNAcentral. Lineage: Bacteria; Bacillati; Cyanobacteriota.
UGAACGCUGGCGGUAUGCCUAACACAUGCAAGUCGAACGCAAUUCUUCAGAAUUGAGUGGCGGACGGGUGAGUAACACGUGAGAAUCUGCCUUUUGGUCGGGGAUAACAGUGGGAAACGACUGCUAAUACCCGAUGAGCUGAGAAGUAAAAAAUUUAUUGCUAAAAGAAGAGCUCGCGCCUGAUUAGCUAGAUGGUGGAAUAAAAGCCUACCAUGGCAACGAUCAGUAGCUGGUCUGAGAGGAUGAGCAGCCACACUGGGACUGAGACACGGCCCAGACUCCUACGGGAGGCAGCAGUGGGGAAUUUUCCGCAAUGGGCGAAAGCCUGACGGAGCAAUACCGCGUGAGGGAGGAAGGCUCUUGGGUCGUAAACCUCAAAACUUAGGGAAGAAGAAAGUGACGGUACCUAAUAUAAGCAUCGGCUAACUCCGUGCCAGCAGCCGCGGUAAUACGGAGGAUGCAAGCGUUAUCCGGAAUCAUUGGGCGUAAAGAGUCUGUAGGUGGCACUUCAAGUCUGCUGUUAAAGACCGAAGCUUAACUUCGGAAAGGCGGUGGAAACUGAAGAGCUAGAGUAAAGCAGGGGUAGAGGGAAUUCCUAGUGUAGCGGUGAAAUGCGUAGAGAUUAGGAAGAACACCAGUGGCGAAGGCGCUCUACUGGGCUGAUACUGACACUCAGAGACGAAAGCUAGGGUAGCGAAAGGGAUUAGAUACCCCUGUAGUCUUAGCGGUAAACGAUGGAUACUAGGCGUAGGUCUUUUUAAAGAGAACUGUGUCGAACUUACGCGUUAAGUAUCCCGCCUGGGGAGUACGCACGCAAGUGUGAACUCAAAGGAAUUGGACGGGGACCCGCACAAGCGGGGGAGUAUGUGGUUUAAUUCGAUGAACGCGAAAAACCUUACCAAAG